UGAGGACUAUUGCUCAAUGGCCGCAAGGCUGAAGCAGCAACGCCGCGUGAGGGAUGAAGGAUCUAUGGUCUGUAAACCUCUGUAGAGAAGGAAAAAUAACCCAUUAUAUGGGCUUGAUAGUACUUCUAGAGUAAGCCCCGGCUAACUACGUGCCAGCAGCCGCGGUAAUACGUAGGGGGCGAGCGUUGUCCGGAAUCACUGGGUGUAAAGGGUGCUCAGGCGGGUCGAUAAGUCAGAGGUGAAAUUUCACAGCUUAACUGUGAAUGUGCUUUUGAUACUGUCGGUCUAGAGUUCAGAAGAGGGCAAUGGAAUGCUUGGUGUAGCGGUAAAAUGCAUAGAUAGCAAGAAGAACACCAGUUGCGAAGGCGGUUGCCUGGUCUGUAACUGACGCUCAAGCACGAAAGCGUGGGGAUCAAACA
Molecule: ribosomal RNA, 419 nt
Filed under: uncultured prokaryote
Description: bacterial SSU rRNA
Rfam family: Bacterial small subunit ribosomal RNA
Source: RNAcentral